Molecule: long non-coding RNA, 361 nt
Organism: Solanum tuberosum (potato)
Lineage: Eukaryota; Viridiplantae; Streptophyta; Magnoliopsida; Solanales; Solanaceae
Exons: 4
Source: RefSeq, a predicted model, not a curated record
CUCUCUAAAUUAUCUAACCUUUCCUCUUACCCAAUACCAAAAACUGUCUAAAUUAUCUAAUCUUUCCUCUUCCCCAAUUUAUUACUCAAUUAAAUCUUAAGUUAAUACUCUAUAUAAUUAUAUAUAUUGAAUGAAGAUGAAAGCACUUCCUGAAUAUACCGUUUCAUUUUCCUUUUUUGUGCACUUAAUAUAAUUUAUAUAAAUGCAAUUAUCAUAUAAGGACAUUUAGGUGAAUACUUUUUCUUCCAUAUUAUUCUCAUUUGUAAAUCAUAAGGUGUACACCAAAAAAUUGAUAAUAAUCCACUAGCUAUCAUAAGAAAGGCUAACCAUUCAUUGGUUUGAGCUUGUAUUUUUUCUCUUC